AUGAUGUGUGGUCUCCGAAAAUCGUGGCUCUUCUGCGAAGAGCCGUGUCAAAAGCCACACAAAAAUUUGUUUAGGGCACCGACAUUCUGUGUUAACGAACGUAGCAUAAACUCCACGGUCCUCGAACCGACCUGACACAAUUAGCCUUCCAUUGAUGGGGGCGUUUAUAACAACAAGAUCACGGACCACCUUGUAAUACUGUUUGUUUGCUAUCGCAUAGCAGAUUGUUAGCCACCACA
Molecule: long non-coding RNA, 239 nt
Organism: Bradysia coprophila
Lineage: Eukaryota; Metazoa; Arthropoda; Insecta; Diptera; Sciaridae
Source: RefSeq, a predicted model, not a curated record